RNAcentral lists this transfer-messenger RNA (355 nucleotides) under Gammaproteobacteria (g-proteobacteria). RNAcentral describes it as "UBA7966 sp003485715 Standard tmRNA". It matches the Rfam family "transfer-messenger RNA". From Rfam's summary of the family: Bacterial tmRNA, also known as 10Sa RNA or SsrA, is named for its dual tRNA and mRNA-like properties. Its role is to liberate the mRNA from a stalled ribosome. The record is from RNAcentral. RNAcentral also lists the same sequence under 1 other name. Lineage: Bacteria; Pseudomonadati; Pseudomonadota.
GGGGGCGACCUGGCUUCGACGGGGGUCGCGAAACCUAAGGGGCAUGCCGAGGGGCAGAGCACCUCGUUAAUCCAGCUGCAAAAAAGUUAGUCGCCAACGACGAAACUUACUCCCUGGCCGCUUAAGGCGGUCAGCCUCCGACCGGUGCCGUGUCCGUGCGCGCCGAAUCGGGGGUCACCCGAACACGGAAUCGCGCUUGAGCCAGCCCGGAGCUUGAGCGUCAAAACCUACGGGCUCGCGUCGUAGUCACCCUGCCGCUCGGGGGGUAUGGCGUCAAAGCGUAGAGCCGGCUAAGCAUGUAGAACCAAGGGCAGAGGGCUUUCGGACGCGGGUUCGAUUCCCGCCGCCUCCACCA